GACGAACGCUGGCGGCGUGCUUAACACAUGCAAGUCGAACGGAAAGGCCCUGCUUUUGUGGGGUGCUCGAGUGGCGAACGGGUGAGUAACACGUGAGUAACCUGCCCUUGACUUUGGGAUAACUUCAGGAAACUGGGGCUAAUACCGGAUAGGAGCUCCUGCUGCAUGGUGGGGGUUGGAAAGUUUCGGCGGUUGGGGAUGGACUCGCGGCUUAUCAGCUUGUUGGUGGGGUAGUGGCUUACCAAGGCUUUGACGGGUAGCCGGCCUGAGAGGGUGACCGGCCACAUUGGGACUGAGAUAGGGCCCAGACUCCUACGUGAGGCAGCAGUGGGGAAUAUUGCACAAUGGGCGGAAGCCUGAUGCAGCAACGCCGCGUGCGGGAGGACGGCCUUCGGGUUGUAAACCGCUUUCGCCUGUGACGAAGCGUGAGUGACGGUAAUGGGUAAAGAAGCACCGGCUAACUACGUG
Molecule: ribosomal RNA, 468 nt
Filed under: uncultured bacterium
Lineage: Bacteria
Description: partial 16S ribosomal RNA
Rfam family: Bacterial small subunit ribosomal RNA
Source: RNAcentral